This 2417-nucleotide long non-coding RNA is filed under the name Equus asinus (donkey). RNAcentral describes it as "lncRNA (ENSEASG00005030121.1)". The record is from RNAcentral. Lineage: Eukaryota; Metazoa; Chordata; Mammalia; Perissodactyla; Equidae.
GCGGGCUGCCCCCGGGACCCUCCUGUGGCGCGUCGGGAGCCCCGCGCCGCGUCCAGACAAGCGCAGCGCUCGAGUCCCUGCGUGGGGUCGGCGCCCGGGCUCCCCUCCUGCACGCCGUCCCACCCUGUGCUCCCUGGGCCUGGGCCCUGCCCGCCGCGCGCUGGGCCGGGCUGCGUCCGGGGGUCCCCGCGGCAGGGCGCGGGCAGGGCGCGGGCCGGCAGGGCGCGCGCGCCGACGGUCUUUUGUCUGAUAACUAAUUUGAGUUAAUGCGAUCUUUAUGUAAAGCUAACAGCGGAUAAUUGUCUAUUUUCUCGCCAACAAUCUCCAUCACAAUCACUUAUCUGGAAACCUGCGGCUGGAUUAAUCGUUAUAUUCCCGAGAUAAGCGUCGCCGCAAUCCGCAGCGAAUAAGGCACUCCGUCUCCACUCUCCUCUCCCUACUUCGUCCGUGGGCUGGAAAUUUUUCCCAGGAGAAGGCAGUCAACACGGAGACGGGCACCAGGCCAGUUCCUAGCCCGGAGCUGAGAAUUAAGCGUCGAGGUUGAAGGCUGCAGAAGGCCGAGGUCUCCCCAGGGCCCCGUGGACUCUCGGGUUCGCCCCGAGGUCUCCCCAGCAAGCUCUCAGGCCUCCACCAUGUGACUCGCAGCCUCUGGAGGUGCCUUAGUUUUACCUUGGUUUCUUGACAAACUAAGGGAUCAGGAUUUGGAAGGAGAAUGGAGCCAGAUGUUGUUUUCGUAAGCACAGCAAGCAGAACAGGGAAAUAAACAGAGAAAAGGCCCUAUAGGGUGUCUUGUUUGGUUGGGGUGAAGGUGGAGGCCUCCGUCUCAAUCCAGGAAAAGCCGUAGGCAGGCUCUUUGCAAAUAUGGACACCUUUGGGGGAAUUGAACUAGAAUACCUUUUUUCUCCCCAGAAAAUUGUAUGAUUUAGGCCUGGACCCUGGGUUGCUCUUGAAGUCUCUGCAAGUCUUGCACCCGGGCCUGGCCUUGGGGCAGAGAGCCUCUCCAGGGCCCGCCCAGCGCCCUGUGCGCCCCAAGCCAGCCAUGGCUGGGGAGGCGUACUGUGGAGGUCCUGGUUAUAGUGGGUGGGCACACAGGACAAUGUCAGCUCCAGGGAGACGGCGUUGUUGCCAGGUGGCUCACCGUGUCUCUCCAGGGUGUAGACAGCUCCUGGUUCAUUGUAGGUGUCCAACAUAUGUUUGCUGAAAGGCUGAAAAGGCCCUUGCCACGGUGGAGCUGCUGGCCUGGCAGAGUGGACCACAGCAGGGCCAGCGCCCUGGGGGCUGGGGAGGGGUCCUGAGCUUGCCUCCCUCCCCUUCUCACACACGUUCAAUCUUACGCUCGCCGUGCCUGUUCUUACACACACACGAUUCACGUGCUGUGCACUCAUGCACACUCACACAAAUACCCAGAGUCUCUAACACACACAGACGCAUGUAUGCAGAGACACACACACAUCCACUGUCACACGUGAGUGACAUGCAGUCACACACACACCAUUCCCCUGGGGGCCCGCAGUCACAGGCUGGCUGAGUGCUGGCGGCGGCUUGUGCCUGGCUCCUCGGGAGGAGAAGUCAAAUAGGUCAGAAGAAUAUUCUCUUAGGUACACACACGUGGGUGAGGGAUCCAGUCCUCCUGGGAAUUCAACAAAUGCAGCAAAAAAGUGACAUCAGUGCAGCACAGGGCGGUUACUUCUGAGCUCUUUCUUCUGAGCGUCAGAGCCAGGUCACUGUCCCAGCUUGCUAGAGUGGGUCGAGUUAUCACUUUGUUCCCAACGCUUCCAAGUUGCUACUUUCUCCCAGUGUAAUUUCCUUGGCUGCCCAUGUAGACCUCUGUUAUACAAUAUGAUAGCCACUAGCCACACGUGGCUACUGAGCACUUACAGUGUGACCAGGUGUGCUGUGACUGUGCAAGACACGCCCGAUUAUAAGGUGUGGUAUGGGGGCUGGCCUGGGAGCACAGCAGUUAAGUUCGCACGUUCCGCUUUGGGCCCUGACCUGUUCGCUGGUUUGGAUCCCAGGCAUGGACCUGCACACCGCUUGUGAAGCCAUGCUCUGGCAGGCAUCCCACAUAUAAAAUGAAGGAAGACUGGCAUGGAUGUUAGCUCAGGGCCAGUCUUUCUCAGCAAAAAGAGGAUUGGCAGCUGAUGUUAGCUCAGGGCUAGUCUUCCUCAAAAUUAUUUUUAAGAAAAUAAUAAAAUAAAAAAUAAAGGUGUAGUAUGAAAGAAAGCAUGUAAAAUGCCUCAUUAAUCAUUUUUAAAUAUUGAUUUCAUGUUGAAAUGAUACUUUUGAUAUAUUCAGUAAAAUAAAAUCCAUUCUUGAAAUUAAUUUCACUUGCUUCUUUUUACUUUUUCAAAAUGUAGCUAUUAGGAAAUUUAAACUGACCACUGACCUGUGUGGCUCCUGUUGGUGGCUUAUAUUGU